GGAGAGAUGGCCGAGUGGUUUAAGGCGGCGGCCUCGAAAGCCGUUGUGCCGGGUAACCGGCACCGUGGGUUCGAAUCCCACUCUCUCCGCCA
RNAcentral lists this transfer RNA (92 nucleotides) under Candidatus Hydrogenedentota bacterium. RNAcentral describes it as "Candidatus Hydrogenedentes bacterium (hot springs metagenome) tRNA-Ser". It matches the Rfam family "tRNA". Rfam says of the family: Transfer RNA (tRNA) molecules are approximately 80 nucleotides in length. Their secondary structure includes four short double-helical elements and three loops (D, anti-codon, and T loops). Further hydrogen bonds mediate the characteristic L-shaped molecular structure. tRNAs have two regions of fundamental functional importance: the anti-codon, which is responsible for specific mRNA codon recognition, and the 3' end, to which the tRNAs corresponding amino acid is attached (by aminoacyl-tRNA synthetases). tRNAs cope with the degeneracy of the genetic code in two manners: having more than one tRNA (with a specific anti-codon) for a particular amino acid; and 'wobble' base-pairing, i.e. permitting non-standard base-pairing at the 3rd anti-codon position. The record is from RNAcentral. RNAcentral also lists the same sequence under 1 other name. Lineage: Bacteria; Pseudomonadati; Candidatus Hydrogenedentota.